GCUCUCUCUCGCUCUAUCUCUCUGUCUCCACCAUUCAUUCACUCUCACCACCCUCCAUAACCACUAACCCCUCCAACCACUAACUGCAGUACACACACACACACACACACAACAAAUGUAAACACAUUCAAACCUUUACACACACACGGAUGCAAGUCCAUAUCUGCUUCUUCAGUCAAAAACAAACUUCCAGUCAAAUUGGGUUUUGUGGAUACGGAGGAAGGAGAGAAGAUGACUACGCUCAGAACAACAGUAGUAGUUUUACUGGGUUUCUACACCUUCUGCCAGGAGUCAAGAGCCUCAGUCCAAGGAGCCUCAGUCCCAGGAGCCUCAGUCCCAGGAGCCUCAGUCCUAGGCAGACCGUUGCUGUACGGCCCCUCAACAGCCCUAGAGAAGACUGUAGAAGAAUUCCAGUGUGAAGUUCUGCGUUACCCUAAAGAAGAGUCCAUCCUCUACCAGCUAUUCAGGGAAGGUGACCGGUCCAAGGCCUUAGGCUUCUACAGUGCUCUGUCUGGUGAGAUGGCCAAUUUCCCUCUGUACAUCACUGCUUCCUAUGAGGGCUACAUGGUGUGUGUAGCCAGCGUCCAGAACAACACAGUAAUACACCCCACCGUCAGUCCAAGACAUCACCUCAGAGUAGUCGACCCAGUCAACGGUGCAGAGGUUGUAGUCCAAUCAGGGUCUGUGGAGUUCUACGAAGGGAAGCCACUGUCCCUACGUUGUAACAUCGCCAAAGGGAACCACGUCUCCUACCAGUGGCUGGUGGAUGGGAAGCCCCUCCCCCUGUCUCCUUUACACAAUCAGACACAGGAACAACUCUUCAUCUACAGGAUGGUGCCCCAGGACAGCGGGGAGUACACCUGUGUUGCUACCAACCAACUCAACAUCACCAAGGUCUACUCCUCCAGGAGCACUGCCAAGGUCAUCAAGGUCAAAGAGCUCGUGUCUGAACCAGACCUCCUCUUCCUGGUACUGAAGGAAAGAGACGGGACCUACUUUGCCCUCGUCACGUGUCAAUCACUCACGGGGUCUCCGCCCAUCACCUUCUCCCUCUACAGCAGGUCAGAGUUCAUUAGCACAGAGACGGUUGACGAGCGAUCCGCCACGUUCUCUAUUCCAGUGGUUCUAGAUCUCCACAUGGGCUUUCUACAGUGUCAGGCGCAGAACGGAGACAGGGUGGUGUACGGUCAGUGGACGGCCAUGCACGUUGUUCCAGUAGGUGGAGCUGUGACGAUGCACUACGACAACGACGUGGGAGAAAAGUUCUCCAUUGUGGGCCUGAGGUUCUACUGUUCCGUGGAGAGGGGAACCUUUCCCCAGUACCGCUGGUUCCUCAACGGAACUGUUCUAGAAGGCCGUGGAGAGUUCUACUGGGUGGAGCAAUCCAUUUUGUUGUUAUCUGUGGGGAGGAGCAGUGCCGGAACGUACCAUUGUGAGGUGUCUGACAGCUUUGAUGGCACUACGGUGAUCAGCAGUGAGGCGAGGUACAUCGAUAAAGAAGUGUUGAACCACCUCCCUACCACGGUGGUGGCUGUUGUGUUCGGCUGUUUCCUCUUCCUAGUUACCUUGGUGACCACCUGUUGUUUCAUUGGUCUGCUGUACCAGAAAAGACAGUGUCUUGUUGAAAAGUCUAUGCUGGAUCUCAAGUUGGGUCUGGAGAUGCACAACAUAAUGGUGACUGAUGAUGAUGAUGAAGAGUUCCUUGCAUUAUGGUGGCCGAGAAUGAUAAAAAAGUUAUUGUGUGUGUGUGUGUGUGUGUGUGUGUGUGUGUGUGUGUGUGUGUGUGUGUGUGUGUGUGUGUGUGUGUGUGUGUGUGUGUGUGUGUGUGUGUGGAAAGAUAAUAAGUACAUACUUCACAUUCAAGUUCAUUUCGAACUUCCCCACAGAGUGUAACAUAUUCCCCUUUUCUCCCGACGAAGGAUGAAGAGGAAUACAUGGAGGAUGACGGAGUGGUGAGAGCAGCCAGGAUCGUUGACUCAGAUCAGGAGGAAGUAGAAUCGACAGACGAGUGGCUGCAGCUACUCCAGGAACUGAAGAACACCUUGGAGGAUGAAAUUCCACAAAAUAACUUUUGAAUUCUACAACCAUCUAAAAAGAAGCGAUUCCUACACAUUCCAUCACAAAGCCCUCCCCUACAGAGAGAUGAACCCAGAGCAGAGGUACCUCAGCCAGCUGGUUCUGGGGCUCUGUUCACAAACACAAACAGACUCCACAGAGUCCCAGAACAGCAACACAAUUAGACCCAACCAAGUUAUGAGGAAGCAAAAAGAUAACUAUGUGACAUACUGGAAAUAAUCACCCCAAAAAACUGAGCAAACUAGAAUGCUAUUUGGCCCUAAACAGAGAGUACACAGUGGCAGAUUACCUGACCACUGUGACUGACCCAAAAUGAUGUACAGACUCAGUGAGCAUAGCCUUGCUAUUGAGAAAGGUAGGCAGGCAGACCUGGCUCUC
RNA transcript from Oncorhynchus kisutch (coho salmon), 2454 nucleotides. It is a transcript of the gene named Fc receptor-like protein 3, with no coding region annotated. Lineage: Eukaryota; Metazoa; Chordata; Actinopteri; Salmoniformes; Salmonidae. The transcript is spliced from 12 exons. The record is from RefSeq and is a predicted model, not a curated record.